Long non-coding RNA from Cryptomeria japonica (Japanese cedar), 1254 nucleotides. RefSeq lists it as uncharacterized. Lineage: Eukaryota; Viridiplantae; Streptophyta; Pinopsida; Cupressales; Cupressaceae. The record is from RefSeq and is a predicted model, not a curated record. The transcript is spliced from 2 exons.
CCGAAAUAAAUGGUCUAAAAAGGAAGAAAGAUGAGCGGGAGAAUCUCAACGAGGAGAUUUCAAAAUUUUGUGCAGGGUAAGCCAUGGCGGAGGACUGACGUUUCAAAAUUUGCGGCCACAAAUCAUGGAGGUGUCCAUUCUUCCUAUUAGGCGUCGUUUCGACAUGAUCGCAAGUUGAAUAGAGCGAAGCAAGAUGCCUUUGAUAUUUGUGAAGAUGACCGUGGGGUUGGGAUGCAUCUUCAAAAUUCCUUUUGUCCCUCUUUCCCCAAUAACAUUCCUCUUGCUGGUCUGCAAAGCCGUGUUCAAGGAAAAUGGCCCUUCUAUCACGUGGAUUCUUAUCAAGAGGGUUUCAAUAGGAAAAAUUCUUUGUCCUUUCCAAACAAUAUCCCAAUUGGCAGCGCACAAAACUCUUCUAUCAAAAAUGGGAAUAAGGGUUUUCCAUCUUUUCCCAUUUAUAUCCCUUUAGGACUCCCUUCAAUCCAGAUAAGCUUGUUAAGAUUCGACAACAAUGGGAAUCCAUAAAAGUUUGGGUAAGGAAACGUCAACCAGAGCCGUCUCGCACAGAGCCUAUCCCAGUGUUAGCGAAUGCGGGCAUAGGAGAUUGUGUAGGAGGGUACAAGAUCACAUUACCAGAUGAUGUGCUGGAGGGUCAAAUUUCUUUGCUCAAAGAAACAACGAUUAUAAGGGAGGAUUUUUUCAUUGCUAUUUUCUCAACAAGAGGGCUGGAGAUUGUGUACAUAGAAGGAAAGAUUGGUUUUGUGAGGGAGAAGACCUUUUCACUCUUCCAUGGACUCCAAAUUUCAAUCCAACUACUCAAAAGAUUAAUUACAUUCCGGUCUGGAUAUCCUUUCCCUCUUUGCCGUUGGAGUACAGAGACUUAGAUCUGGUUGAAUCUUUUGCUAAUCAAAUGGGCAUUUUACUUAAACAUGAUUUGGUCCCAUAUGAGGAGACGGAUCGGACUGUCAGGGUAUGCCUAUUAGUGGAUUUUUGUAAAUCUUUUCCCAAACAGCUGAUUAUCCGAUCUAGUUUUGGUUGUUGGACUCAAAAUGUGAUAAUGGAUGACCCCCUUACAAUUCAAAAUCAUUAUAAUUUGUUAGGUCAUUUCACAUCCCAAUGUAAGAGGACUGGUCAGAUGGAGAUCAAUGUCUGUCAGGAUUAUUCCACAAACCCAAUGUGUUGUAAAGCUCUGAAUAUGUCUCAUGUGACAUCAGAUUUAAUAUAUAAGAAACAAGAUGCUCAUAAGUUUGAUGAUUA